RNAcentral lists this ribosomal RNA (493 nucleotides) under uncultured bacterium. RNAcentral's name for it is "partial 16S ribosomal RNA". It matches the Rfam family "Bacterial small subunit ribosomal RNA", at positions 30 to 507 of the family's 1533-position model. The record is from RNAcentral.
AUUGAACGCUGGCGGCAUGCUUUACACAUGCGAGUCGAACGGCAGCGAGGAGAAGCUUGCUUCUCUGUCGGCGAGUGGCGAACGGGUGAGUAUAGCAUCGGAACGUGCCAAGUAGUGGGGGAUAACCAAACGAAAGUUUGGCUAAUACCGCGUAAGCUCUAAGGAGGAAAGUAGGGGACCUAAAUAAGGCCUUACGCUAUUUGAUCGGCCGAUGUCGGAUUAGCUAGUUGGUGGGGUAAUGGCUCACCAAGGCAAUGAUCCGUAGCGGGUCUGAGAGGACGAUCCGCCACACUGGGACUGAGACACGGCCCAGACUCCUACGGGAGGCAGCAGUGGGGAAUUUUGGACAAUGGGGGAAACCCUGAUCCAGCCAUGCCGCGUGUAUGAAGAAGGCCUUAGGGUUGUAAAGUACUUUUGUUAGGGAAGAAAAGCUAGUUUUUAAUAAAAAUUAGUGAUGACGGUACCUAAAGAAUAAGCACCGGCUAUCUACGUG